RNAcentral lists this ribosomal RNA (376 nucleotides) under uncultured Ochrobactrum sp. RNAcentral describes it as "bacterial SSU rRNA". It matches the Rfam family "Bacterial small subunit ribosomal RNA", at positions 420 to 811 of the family's 1533-position model. Lineage: Bacteria; Pseudomonadati; Pseudomonadota; Alphaproteobacteria; Hyphomicrobiales; Brucellaceae. The record is from RNAcentral.
GGAUUGUAAAGCUCUUUCGCGCGGGGACGAUAGAUGACGGUACCCGCAGAAGAAGCCCCGGCUAACUUCGUGCCAGCAGCCGCGGUAAUACGAAGGGGGCUAGCGUUGUUCGGAUUGACUGGGCGUAAAGGGCAUGUAGGCGGAUUGUUCAGUCAGGUGUGAAAUCCCCGAGCUCAACUCGGGAACUGCCUUUGAUACUGGAAGUCUAGAGUGUGAUAGAGGUUAGUGGAAUUCCGAGUGUAGAGGUGAAAUUCGUAGAUAUUGGGAAGAACACCAGUGGCGAAGGCGGCUAACUGGAUCAUUACUGACGCUGAGGCGCGAAAGCGUGGGGAGCAAACAGGAUUAGAUACCCUGGUAGUCCACGCUGUAAACGAUG